CGGCGCCCAUUGGCUGCUGUGCGCCUCUGCAGCGCGGGGCGCGGCGUCCGGGCUGGGGAGGGAGGCGGGGGGCGCAGCCGCGCCCUCCCGCGCCGGAAAGGGGGCGGGCGACGCGCCGAGGUCCCCCCCGGCCGGCAUCACCCGGCACGUCCCCCACGUAGGGAGCGGCGCGCACCGUCACGCGUGGCGGCGCCGUGCCCGGGCGGAGGUGCGGGGCGCAGGCGGGAGGCACCGCCCGGCCCCGGGGACCCGGGGGAGCGGGCCUUUUCCUCGGAAACGAGGGCGGGGGCCUGCAGAAGUGGGCGUGGAAAGCGAGCGGAAGCGGGCGCGCGGAGGGGCGGCCCUCGCACCCGGGUCUCCGCUCCUGGUCGCCCUCGCGGGGCCGGGCAUCCUUCGCAGCCCUGGCCACCCGGUCCCAGUCUCCGGCUGGCCGAUUCGGCUGCUCCAGCCCACGGCGCCCGCCCCUGAGCCGCCGGCUUCCCCGAGGGCUCGCGCCCGCUGCGCGGGACCUGGUCCCCAGGCCUCAUCUGGUUCUUGGACCGUACGAGGAGCUGGGGGACAGCUCGGGCCCCCUUCUUUUCCACUUCCCUAGAGGAGGUUAGGUGGGGUGGGAGGGACCCGGCCGUCCGAAGGGGCCGGACAGGGAGUGCAGUGACGGAGGUGUGUACGCUGCUACUGGGACGGACAGCAAGAUUAACCGCCUCAGUGUGCUGGGGGACCCCAGGAAUGCGGCGCCUACAAACCGCCGUGUAGUGAGCUCAGGCCUAUAAGGAAGUGGUCGCCGUCCUGACUGAGCAGAGAAUUUCCCAGUGGCUACUCAAUGCCAGCCUCUGUUUUUGGCCUUGGGGACAACAGGAAGAAGAAGGCCCAAGUCCUUAUUCCUGUGGAGCACCCAUUCCAGCCAACAGGAAGAAGAGAAAACAAGCUCUCUGGAGAAAGACAAAUGGGAACGCCGUCACAGAUGUGGGGAAAAUCUAAUUCUGAAUCUGUAUCCGUCUGCUCUGUCUGGCCAAAAAGAUUUUGGGAGAAAUAAAUGAUAGGGUUAGAAAACAGGAAAUGUGGGUGAAGGUGCUCUCAAAGGCAAAGCCCGUGGGGCUCUCAUGAGGACAGCCUACCUUGUCCUAUGGUUGCCGGUCUUGCCUAGUAAACUUGGAGGAGGAGUGGAGCCUCCAUUGCCCCAGGUGUUUCCGGGGCUGGCCCACGCAAAGACACAAGACAGCUGCCAACUCCAGAGUUCCGGUUCUGGUUCAGGGAUUCUAUGAUGCUGUCAAUUACUUGGAAUGUACAGAGUUGCUUGGAUACCUCGGGCUCCUUGUACAAGUCGGAGAGCAGAGCUGGGAGAGAAGUCGUGUGGGUGACCUGCUCCCACCUGCCAAGCAUGUGCUCGGACCAGAGGGGGACCCCCUCCAGGAGAACCAGGAGACACAGGGACUGGACACUGAGGGUGUCUCACAAGGAAGACGGAACUGGAGAAACAGCCAGGACGGCCAGGUUUUCAGUUGACUAACACAGACGCUGAUAUGGACAAGCCUUUCCCCAAAGAGAAUACAACCUCACAACACAAGGAAGAUAAACACAGCGAGUCCACACAUUGCUCCAGAGAGGUGGAACCUCAGACUACAAAGCAGGUAACUUUGGUAAACCAGGACCUGCUCACAGCAUAGCUACCGUAUACGCUCACCAAACGCAGAAGAGCCACCUGCCAGGGUCCUCGGCUCCCUCAUCUGUCCCCAGGCCCAGCUCACCUCUCUGUGUUUCGGACUCAGGCUCCUCCACUCUCCGGGUGAACGUCCUGCUUCCGCAAACGGGGACACUCAGCGCUGGGAAUCUUCACCUCCGGAAGAGGACGCCGACGCCGACAGCUCUUGUGGGGUGGGAGUGGCGGACAGAUCAAGACCAGCCCAGAGCACCUCGGGCGCUGUUCUUUCCAUCCCGGUCUUCACUUUUUUCAAAGCAAAUUUCUCCAAAAGCUUCCUUAUUCGAUCAUGCCUCCCUCCAAUAAAAAUGCAGUAAGGAUGA
This is a non-coding RNA of Oryctolagus cuniculus (rabbit), 2019 nucleotides long. The record is from RefSeq and is a predicted model, not a curated record. Lineage: Eukaryota; Metazoa; Chordata; Mammalia; Lagomorpha; Leporidae.